This is a non-coding RNA of Mycena rebaudengoi, 88 nucleotides long. The record is from the annotation of a GenBank genome assembly. NCBI's taxonomy places the organism in Eukaryota, Fungi, Basidiomycota, Agaricomycetes, Agaricales, Mycenaceae.
GCACCGGUGGUGCAUGGUGCACGCUGCCCUGAAGUAAAAAGUCUUCUAAAAUGUCAGGCAGAUCGGGGUUCGACUCCCCACCGGUGCA